This 1140-nucleotide ribosomal RNA is filed under the name Macrophthalmus sulcatus. RNAcentral describes it as "16S ribosomal RNA". The stretch from base 635 to 839 matches the Rfam family "Bacterial large subunit ribosomal RNA", at positions 1698 to 2031 of the family's 2925-position model. Lineage: Eukaryota; Metazoa; Arthropoda; Malacostraca; Decapoda; Macrophthalmidae. The record is from RNAcentral.
UGCAGAUGACUUGUUUAAAAAUAAAGUUUUGUAAAGUUGAAUGAAAAAUAUUUUUAUCUAAUAGUUAAUAAAGUAAAAUUAAUUGAAAAAUUAAAUUGAGCAAGCUAUAGAGUAAAGUACCGUGAGGGAAAGUUGAUAAUACCUUGUAAAGUAGAAGUGAAAAUUUGUAUCUUGUGUAUCAGAGAGAACUUAUGUAGAUUAAGUAUAUUAAUUAUCUCGAAAUAAAGUAUAGCUAUUUUUUAAAAAUUUUCUUUUUGGAAAAAAAGAAUUUAAUUUAAAGAUAAAAGUGAAAUGCUAGAUGAGCUUUAUAAUAUCUAGUUUUUUUAAAAAUAAAUUAAAUUUAAUUUUUGUGAUUAAAAUGUUGCAAAAUUAAAUGGCAGGAGGGAUCAGCUUCUUGUGAAAAAUAAUAUGAAAGAGUUAAGUAAGAUAAAGGACUAUAAGUUAGGCUUAGAAGUAGUCAUAUUUAUAAAGUGUUAUAACUAGAUUAAACAUUAAAAAAUAUUUUUUAAAACUUUUUUAAAGUAUAAAGAAAUUUAUUUGAACUUGGAAGAAUAAGAUAUAAUGGUUUUAUUAGUAAAAUUUAAUUAGAAGAAGAAUAUAUUGGAAUGUUUGAGAAAGUUUAAAAUUAGCUAAUAUCAGUAUAAAGGAAUUCGGCAAAAAAUUUUCUUUGCCUGUUUAUCAAANACAUGUCUUUUUGUAAGUAAAAAAAGUCCAACCUGCCCACUGAUAUUUUUAAGGGCCGCGGUAUUUUGACCGUGCGAAGGUAGCGUAGUCAUUAGGUUUUUAAUUGGGAUCUUGUAUGAAUGGUUAGACAAGGGAGAAUCUGUCUCUUUAUUGAAAAUUUAAUUUAACUUUUAAGUGAAAAGGCUUAAAUUAUUUAAAGGGACGAUAAGACCCUAUAAAGCUUGAUAUAAAAGGUUAUUUAAUUAAAUCAGUUAGUAAAACUUUUAUGACCUGGGUUAUUUUAUUGGGGCGAUAAGGGUAAAAUGUUUUGUAACUGCUUUAAAAAUAAAACAUGUUAGUUGAGAUAAUUUUUAAGAGAUCCCAAGUGAGGAUUAUAAGUUUAAGUUACUUUAGGGAUAACAGCGUUAUUCUUUUUGAGAGUACAUAUCGAAAAAAGAGUUUGCGACCUCGAUGUUG